UGGAUAGGUUGCCUGAAGAAAUGAAUGAAUGAUAUGAAGAUAAGGGAUGACAAGGAAAUGGAAACUGUCGUGGUCGAUGGAAAUGGCACAGAGAUGGGUGAUAUAAUCGUGACAACUAUUGGGGGUAGAAAUGGCCAACCAAAGCUGAAACAGCAGAUGAUGAGAGUAUUAGCGUGUUGGAAGUACCUAGCUGGUGCAUGAAGGCAAUAUGACGUUAGAAGAUUUCCUCACCCCAACUGAGAUGAAAGAUGGACUCACAAACCUUGCUAGAGUUGAAGAGUCGGUUGCUGUUAUGCAGAGGUAGAGAGAAAAUAUUACGAAGAAUGUAGGUAAUGCAUCCAGACAAUGGUCAAUUGUAGCAAGUACCUUAUCAGCGACAGAGAAGAAUGGUUGCCUUAAUCAUUUUCUUCAGUUAGACGGGCAUAGGUUUCUUAACCAAUGGCUCCAGGAAGCUCAAAAGUGUAGUGGUGGCAUAAGCAACAGUUCUAUGGAAGAUUCAAUCAGUACAGUGCUAGGAGCACUUGAGAAGCUGCCUCUAGA
Magnolia sinica is the source of this 540-nucleotide long non-coding RNA. RefSeq lists it as uncharacterized. The record is from RefSeq and is a predicted model, not a curated record. Lineage: Eukaryota; Viridiplantae; Streptophyta; Magnoliopsida; Magnoliales; Magnoliaceae. The transcript has 3 exons.